RNAcentral lists this ribosomal RNA (455 nucleotides) under uncultured bacterium. Its description in RNAcentral is "bacterial SSU rRNA". It matches the Rfam family "Bacterial small subunit ribosomal RNA", at positions 340 to 786 of the family's 1533-position model. The record is from RNAcentral.
UACGGAAGGCAGCAGUGGGGAAUAUUGCACAAUGGGCGAAAGCCUGAUGCAGCUAUGCCGCGUGUAUGAAGAAGGCCUUAGGGUUGUAAAGUACUUUCAUCGGGGAGGAAAAACAAAACUAAUAAUUUUAUUUCUUGACGUUACCCGAAAAAGAAGCACCGGCUAACUCCGUGCCAGCAGCCGCGGUAAUACGGAGGGUGCUAGCGUUAAUCAGAAUUACUGGGCGUAAAGAGCACGUAGGUGGUUUUUUAAGUCAGAUGUGAAAUCCCUGGGCUUAACCUAGGAACUGCAUUUUGAAACUGAAAUACUAGAGUAUCGUAGAGGGAGGUAGAAUUCUAGGUGUAGCGGUGAAAUGCGUAGAUAUCUGGAGGAAUACCUGUGGCGAAAGCGGCCUCCUAAACGAAUACUGACACUGAGGUGCGAAAGCGUGGGGAGCAAAACAGGGAUUAGAUACC